CCCUAUGGGGUGCAGCAGGCGCGAAAACUUCACACUGCAGGAAACUGUGAUGAGGGAACUCCAAGUGCGCGCACUUAGUGUGCGCUUUUCUUGACUAUUAAUCGGUCAUGGAAUAAGGGCUGGGAAAGACCGGUGCCAGCCGCCGCGGUAAUACCGGCAGCUCAAGUGGUCGUCGCUUUUAUUGGGCCUAAAACGUCCGUAGCCUGUUUGGUAAAUCUGUGGGUAAAUCAACCAGCUUAACUGGUUGAAUUCUGCAGAGACUGCCAGACUAGGGACCGGGAGAGGUGUGGGGUACUCUAGGGGUAGGGGUAAAAUCCUGUCAUCCUUAGAGGACCACCAGUUGCGAAGGCGCCACACUGGAACGGAUCCGACGGUCAGGGACGAAGCCUAGGGGCACGAACCGGAUUAGAUACCCGGGUAGUCCUAGGUGUAAACGCUGUGAACUUGGUGUCGGGAGUCCGCAAUGGGCCCCCGGUGCCGGAGUGAAGAUGUUAAGUUCACUGCCUGGGGAGUACGGUCGCAAGGCUGAAACUUAAAGGAAUUGGCGGGGGAGCACUGCAACGGGAGGAGCGUGCGGUUUAAUUGGAUUCAACGCCGGAAAACUCACCAGGGCCGACUGUUAGAUGAAGACCAGUGUAACGAACUUGUCGGAUUUUCAGAGAGGUGGUGCAUGGCC
This 676-nucleotide ribosomal RNA is filed under the name uncultured Candidatus Poseidoniales archaeon. Its description in RNAcentral is "bacterial SSU rRNA". It matches the Rfam family "Archaeal small subunit ribosomal RNA", at positions 321 to 999 of the family's 1478-position model. Lineage: Archaea; Methanobacteriati; Thermoplasmatota; Candidatus Poseidoniia; Candidatus Poseidoniales. The record is from RNAcentral.